GAGGACUAAGGAAAUAGUCUCCUUACCUCCUCAGACUGUCUCCCUGCAAAGACCCUGGUGAGAGAGACAUGGGAAAGGAAGAAACAAGGAAUGGAUCCACAACAGACAAAUGCCAACAGGAGAAGGCAAAGGAGGAGGAGGAAGAAGGAGAUACAGCUGAGGGUGAUGAUGAGUAUAUUACUAGAUUCUGAAGCUAGAGUAGAAGAGAAAAGAAUCUUCAUAAAUCACUAUCCUGAGGGGACCCUCACCUUGCCCCUGAAAUCAUCUCUGCAUUUUCUCCAUAUACCCUCAUUCACAGACUCCCAUCACCACCAGCACCCAACAAGGGCUCAUCUUUUGGAAUUGAGCUCCAGGGGGUCACUGAGUUGUGUCCAGAGACUGCCUUCGGUGCCAGGCUGGUAGCCACAACUGUAAUUGCCAGAAUGCUUGGGCGUCACAUGAGUCAAGGAGAACUGGGCUCCAUCUUGAGUGACCUUGAAACACCCUCACCUGUCACCCAGAUCUCUAGGACCUCACUGGGCUCAGACACCUGUGAUAGAGUCAUCAUCUCCUCAUGGUAGACACAGCUGUAGCUGCCAGCAUCUUGUGCCCUCACAGAGAGAAGGAGAAAAUCAGCUGAGGUUCCACCUGGACUCUGCCUCUGCAAGGGCUGAGAGAUCCCCACUUUCAGCAGAAUGAAUGUCACUCCCCAGAGGGAAGAAUAAGAAGGAGGAUGCUCACACUGGAGUGUCACAUGAGUACCAGGUUCCACCACAAGGCCUGGGAGGGCUGAGAGGGUGGGCUUGGGGAGAGAUCCUGUGAGAGGAAGAACAUGGGGCUGGGAGUCAGGAUAUGUGAGCCAUCUUUUCCCUGGCCCUGGGUCCCUAUAUGACCAUGAU
Molecule: non-coding RNA, 878 nt
Organism: Monodelphis domestica (gray short-tailed opossum)
Lineage: Eukaryota; Metazoa; Chordata; Mammalia; Didelphimorphia; Didelphidae
Source: RefSeq, a predicted model, not a curated record